UUUUAUGAAACUAUAUGUAUAUGUAUCUUAAUUUAGGCAUUUCUAAGGAAAACAGAAUGGGAACAAAUAUUCGAUUUCUUAUUGUAGUAUGCAUCAUCAUAUGUUUUGCCUCAAUUUCAGAUGCUGCCACAGGGAUUGCCACCUUCUACAAACCUCCUUAUGUUCGAUGCCACGGAAACAUCAAUCUUUCGGAAGACGCUUUUUUUAUGAUUGCUGAUCUCAAUGCUGGAAAAAUUAUGGUUAACUAUACAGAGUACAUAUAGUAAGGUCUUAGCAGAUUAUCGCCUACCUUUACCACAGUAGCAAGGUUUUGAGGCAGAUGGGUAGGUGGUCGGAAUGCUUAGGCUUUUAGGGGUCAUCAUAUCAUCCACUAUGUUACUUUUAUUGCAUUUAUAUUCUGUCAAACUAUGUUAAAGCAAGUGCAUCAGGCACAGACAAAAAAAAAAAUUGGAUCACUUAACUUAUUCAGUUGUGUUAUUAUGUUAUUAAGAACUUAUACUUCUGCAAAAAUAUUAUUUUUAGUGGUUUACAA
This is a long non-coding RNA of Alnus glutinosa, 532 nucleotides long. RefSeq lists it as uncharacterized. The record is from RefSeq and is a predicted model, not a curated record. Lineage: Eukaryota; Viridiplantae; Streptophyta; Magnoliopsida; Fagales; Betulaceae. The transcript is spliced from 4 exons.